This 465-nucleotide ribosomal RNA is filed under the name Vreelandella stevensii. Its description in RNAcentral is "partial 16S ribosomal RNA". It matches the Rfam family "Bacterial small subunit ribosomal RNA", at positions 338 to 795 of the family's 1533-position model. Lineage: Bacteria; Pseudomonadati; Pseudomonadota; Gammaproteobacteria; Oceanospirillales; Halomonadaceae. The record is from RNAcentral.
CCUACGGGUGGCAGCAGUGGGGAAUAUUGGACAAUGGGCGAAAGCCUGAUCCAGCCAUGCCGCGUGUGUGAAGAAGGCCUUCGGGUUGUAAAGCACUUUCAGUGGGGAAGAAAGCCUUGGGGCUAAUACCCUCGAGGAAGGACAUCACCCACAGAAGAAGCACCGGCUAACUCCGUGCCAGCAGCCGCGGUAAUACGGAGGGUGCGAGCGUUAAUCGGAAUUACUGGGCGUAAAGCGCGCGUAGGCGGUCUGAUAAGCCGGUUGUGAAAGCCCCGGGCUCAACCUGGGAACGGCAUCCGGAACUGUCAGGCUAGAGUGCAGGAGAGGAAGGUAGAAUUCCCGGUGUAGCGGUGAAAUGCGUAGAGAUCGGGAGGAAUACCAGUGGCGAAGGCGGCCUUCUGGACUGACACUGACGCUGAGGUGCGAAAGCGUGGGUAGCAAACAGGAUUAGACACCCCUGUAGUC